GGAAACUGUCAGCUCAUCAUUCCCAGAUGUUCUAAUCAGCUCUAGUUAAAAUACUUGAACAUUUUUAACCAAAGAUUAUCAUAACUGAGGAUUACGUAGCUCUGAUGGUGAGACCAUGCCAAAGUGCGUGAUGUGUGUGUUGCAUACCAGAACGAAAAAGAGCAGCAGAUCUGAGCACUGGCACCAGCCUGUGAAAAGCUGUAUUGCACAAGGGAAAACAAAAGCAGCCCAGCUCCCUCUGCAGUGAGUGACAUCCUAUGGUGUGAUCUGAAACUCUGCUAAAGGAGAGUGCGCUUAGGAAAGGGAAAGUGAAGCUAUUGGUGAGACUCAUUGCACCAGGCUCUUAUGAAAUCAGAUAGAUUAAUAGAAUAUGGUGUUAUAAUGGUUUUGGUUUAUGAUAUGAGAGAGUUCAUGGGAGAGCUAAACAGCCUGUGCUUUAAGAAAACAUCAUCAGAUAGAAGUAUAAGAGCCUCCUGCUUCCUCUCCAACAUCGCAUGGAUUCCACGCUUGAAACAGUGAGCACCUUCUCCAUGUAAAAAACUCUGAAAAUUGCGGGUCAAAGAUCACCUCACUUCUUGCAGUCGUUGAGUAGUCUGGAAGUGCAAAAUGGCAAGAAUAGCAGUUUGUGUUUGGGAACAUACUGCUAAGGAAGAACAUGAGUGUUUGAGAAGGAUAUUCCAGAUGAAGAAGAACAACUUGCCAGUGGACUGCUGAGGCAUCUCUAGAGACUUGCAUUGGAAGGAAGAGGGAGUUUUCUGCAAGAAAUGGAAAAGUAUGUCUGAACAACUGAGGCUGGAAAUGGAGAACAUGUCUUGGAGUUCCCUGCACAAGAUUCCUGUUUCCAGUCUCACUGUGUCUGGCUGUCCUUGGAGCACUCAUGCCCGUUGCAGUGAGCAGAAGGGAGCCCUGGUUGGGUGCUGUUCUGAGCAUACAGGGCCACUGGUGUCCCUACAGCAGUAUGGCAGAGCACUGCAUCAGCCUUGCUCACAGCUGGGAGGAGGACAGCCUCACCAGCAGCCUGAGCAGGAGUGAGGAGAAGGGAAGUUUUGUGCUCUUCACACUGCAGGCGAAACAUCUUUGCAUGAACUCUGCGAAAAGGUUAUUAACAUCCUGCAGCAAAGGCAUCACUUCAGCCUAAACAUUUGUGGAAGAAAUAAACUCUACAUGAAAACUGAAUGUAAUUAAGUCUUACAUUCAGGACCCUGAUGAGUGA
RNAcentral lists this long non-coding RNA (1213 nucleotides) under Corvus moneduloides (New Caledonian crow). Its description in RNAcentral is "lncRNA (ENSCMUG00000001834.2)". The record is from RNAcentral. Lineage: Eukaryota; Metazoa; Chordata; Aves; Passeriformes; Corvidae.